AUCGCUUCUUGGCCUUUUGGCUAAGAACAAAUGUAGUAUCUGUUCUUAUCAGUUUAAUAUCUUCACUGAUUUUUACUUCAGGAAUUAAAAGCUAUCUAAUCUUUAUUCCAAAGUAAGAUAAGACAUUGAUCUUUUACUGCAGUCAGUAUGUCACCUCCU
This 159-nucleotide small nuclear RNA is filed under the name Myotis davidii. RNAcentral's name for it is "U2 spliceosomal RNA". It matches the Rfam family "U2 spliceosomal RNA". Rfam says of the family: U2 is a small nuclear RNA (snRNA) component of the spliceosome (involved in pre-mRNA splicing). The record is from Rfam by way of RNAcentral. Lineage: Eukaryota; Metazoa; Chordata; Mammalia; Chiroptera; Vespertilionidae.